RNAcentral lists this ribosomal RNA (497 nucleotides) under uncultured bacterium. RNAcentral's name for it is "bacterial SSU rRNA". It matches the Rfam family "Bacterial small subunit ribosomal RNA", at positions 28 to 514 of the family's 1533-position model. The record is from RNAcentral.
GAUGAACGCUAGCGACAGGCUUAACACAUGCAAGUCGAGGGGCAGCGAGGGCGUAGCAAUACGCCUGUCGGCGACCGGCGCACUGGUGAGUAACACGUAUGCGACCUGCCCCCUACAGGGGUAUAACCCGUAGAAAUGCGGACUAAUCCCCCAUAGUCCUGGGUGCUGCAUGGCAUUCAGAGGAAAGGCCAGCCGGUAGGGGAUGGGCAUGCGGCGCAUUAGCUAGUUGGCGGGGCAACGGCCCACCAAGGCGACGAUCAGUAGGGGUUCUGAGAGGAAGGUCCCCCACAUUGGAACUGAGACACGGUCCAAACUCCUACGGGAGGCAGCAGUGAGGAAUAUUGGUCAAUGGGCGAGAGCCUGAACCAGCCAAGUCGCGUGAAGGAUGAAAGGUUCUAUGGAUUGUAAAACUUCUUUUAAUUCGAGGGUAAAGUGAGGUACGUGUACCUUAUUGCAAGUAUCGAAUGAAUAAGCAUCGGCUAACUCCGUGCCAGCAG